CACGCAAGUCGAGCGCCCCGCAAGGGGAGCGGCAGACGGGUGAGUAACGCGUGGGAAUCUACCGUGCCCUGCGGAAUAGCUCCGGGGAACUGGAAUUAAUACCGCAUACGCCCUUCGGGGGAAAGAUUUAUCGGGGUAUGAUGAGCCCGCGUUGGAUUAGCUAGUUGGUGGGGUAAAGGCCUACCAAGGCGACGAUCCAUAGCUGGUCUGAGAGGAUGAUCAGCCACAUUGGGACUGAGACACGGCCCAAACUCCUACGGGAGGCAGCAGUGGGGAAUAUUGGACAAUGGGCGAAAGCCUGAUCCAGCAAUGCCGCGUGAGUGAUGAAGGCCUUAGGGUUGUAAAGCUCUUUUACCCGGGAAGAUAAUGACUGUACCGGGAGAAUAAGCCCCGGCUAACUCCGUGCCAGCAGCCGCGGUAAUACGGAGGGGGCUAGCGUUGUUCGGAAUUACUGGGCGUAAAGCGCACGUAGGCGGCUUUGUAAGUAAGAGGUGAAAGCCUGGAGCUCAACUCCAGAACUGCCUUUUAGACUGCAUCGCUUGAAUCCAGGAGAGGUGAGUGGAAUUCCGAGUGUAGAGGUGAAAUUCGUAGAUAUUCGGAAGAACACCAGUGGCGAAGGCGGCUCACUGGACUGGUAUUGACGCUGA
RNAcentral lists this ribosomal RNA (647 nucleotides) under uncultured bacterium. Its description in RNAcentral is "bacterial SSU rRNA". It matches the Rfam family "Bacterial small subunit ribosomal RNA", at positions 54 to 749 of the family's 1533-position model. The record is from RNAcentral.